Long non-coding RNA from Equus caballus (horse), 3754 nucleotides. The record is from Ensembl. NCBI's taxonomy places the organism in Eukaryota, Metazoa, Chordata, Mammalia, Perissodactyla, Equidae.
GAGAAGAAAGGAGUUUGUCAAACUUGGGAAAGACAAUUUCCUCCUAUCGCCUCAAAAAUCCACUGCAUAAAGCAAGAAUUCUUAAGGGUCAGGCCAGCCCUUACCUUCCCUGAGAAAGAAGGGCACCGUGGGCUCUCAGAAGUUAUGCCCCAGAGGUUAUUACCGCGCCUCUGCCUGGCGUUGGGGGGGGAGGGGGGUGAAAGGAAACAGUUGACAUUUCCGGUCACACUAAGGCUCUCUGGCCUGGGGCCCUGGGCACUAGCUCCCCCUGCCGGCGGGCUGCCAGAGACCAUAUAAACCGAGAUCGGGCCUCCACGCUGCCCGCUCUCUUCUCCCGCGUCAUGAAGCUGAGCAGCCUCUUUGCGCUCACUGUGGUCCUCCUGGUCCUCUGCCUCCACGCGGCGCAGCCUCGUUUGCUGAAGGGUGCGUGUGGGCCGAGGCGGUCCCGUGUGUGGUCGGGGUGGGGGAGCCCUCCCUCGGAGGAGCCCUUGGGACGAGCUGGCCCGGCUGCCUGGCAACGACGCCCUGGUGCCCCCAGCUCACCCUGCGGCAUUUUUCCUCGGCAGUAACGAAACCGGGAGAGUGCCCCGAAUUUUCACUUUCCUGCCCCUUCGUCCUCUUACCUCUGUGCCGGCGCGAUAGAGGCUGCAAGGGCGUCAGGAAGUGUUGUUUCUACAACUGUAGGCGUCGAUGCAUGGAGCCCUUGGGGAGUUUGGAGUGAGGUGAGAAGCGCCCCGUCUCCCCGCUUUGAUCUAGGUGUCCCAGAGCGCGUGGAGAACCCUCAGUGCCCUUAGAAAUCAUUGAGGUCAGAACUUUUAAACUAGGAUCUGCCCUGAAAUCUGCCUCUAGGACAGUAAAGAGAGAGGCCCAACAGACGUCCUUCCUCAGAAACCGCGCCCUUCGUUCCAUGUGAUGGGCAGCGCUCUCCCGUGAAUGAUGGGGACAGUUGGAGGAGGUUAUCUCUGGGCUCCUCAACUGUUGCUGAAUUUUUCUUAUGACAAUUUUCAAUGGCCAUUGCUUCUCUUACAUCUUGUAAGAGUGAAUCGCUUUCCUCUUCACAUUUAAAUUGUCAGGUAGAAACCCCUUCUGAACCAACCCCGAGAAGACACUGAUAGAGCAGGCUCAGAUUGGAUAACUGAUUUCUGGUUCUUCCAUGCUCUCCUCAUCCCCGUCUUCCUUUUAUCCAGAGUUAAAUGCUUAUUAAUAUGAAAACAACACAAAGAAAUAAAGUGUUAUAUAUUUAAAACUACAUGAAAAUCUACGACUGCUGGGUCUCCCCCCCCCACCCCCUUCUCUGUCCUCAGCCUCGAGGGGCAUCCUUUAGGAUUUGUAAAAAAGGAUGGGGUUACUGUUUCACAUUUAGUUUUGAUCAGUUCCUGCACUUCUGUUUUUCUGAUAUGUUUCUCUCUUUCAAUGUCUCCUGACACUCAGAUCCCAGGGGCAUUUUUGAGUCAUGUUUUCUGUGUUGGAUCGUCUGAGAGGUGUAUGUUGUCCUGGGAUAAGGAGGCAAGGCUUUUUGCCACAUGGUCUCUGGCCCCGCUGCUGGUGGCCUUUCUGCUUGUUGGAAUAGUGUGAUCCAGGACUAGAUUUGGGACUUUGGGUUGGCAGUGGAGCAGAACGUGCCUUAGUUCUAGGCUACUUUAAGGUCUAAAAUCUUAGGCCUUCAUAACUCAGGAAAAGGAAGUCUUGUCCACAGCCCAGUUUAGCUACCUUGAGUCUUAGUUCGGGAGCUGAGCCUCUAAGCUACCUACUCGUGAAGCGUUAGCCUUGCACUUUCUCGCUUUCUGCUGUUUGGUUCGGUCUUGCUGAGGGAUCACACAGGGCUUUUAGGUCUGGAGAGUAGUCUUCCAAAAAUUUAUUUUUCCUUGACACAUACAGCUUAAACAAAUUUUUGAAAAACUAUUUAUUCCCUAGGAUGUUUUCAGGUGACAUAUAAUAUUUUUCAUCAUCAUCUACAUAGUUACAAGUGAUAACAUUGUAGGUGUAGGAUGAACAUUGUCAUUUAAAUAAAAAUGGGAGCCUCACUCUUUUUAAUGUUUCUAAUGGAAUCUAAUUAUUAUCUUCAUUGGAUAGUAAUUUCUAUUAGGAAAAAACAUGUUCUUUCUUCUCUGAAUUUUCUUCUGCCUCCCCACUUGCUUUCCCUUCAUUGCCUGCACAGUUCAAACCAAAACAAAUAGGUGAAUGGGUUAGUUUGGUUCCUCUGAAAAGCAGAUGUCAAGACAAGAGUAGGGAAUCAAGGGCUUAUUGGGGAAAAUGCGUGUGAGGGAUAAAGGGGAGAUAGCCAGAGGAGACAAGGAGAACCAUCAGACUGUGAUGCAGGGCUCCCGUGAAGGAGGGGAGGAGGAUGCUCAGAAUACAGUAUGAUUAAGAAAGUGUCAGCCUGGCUGAAAGGGAGUGAUUGAAUUAAAGUCACCCCUCAGAGCAAUCCCCGUCUCCCAGAAUGGGUCAGAGAGGGAAGGAUUCCUGGCUAGCUUGUGGGUGAUCCCCUCUUCCUUUCCUAGGGCAGGAGCUCAAUCAGGUCCUUCAGUGGGCAUCCCAGGAAAGGGAGCCCUGACAAAUAGGGACCAAGUCCUCUGUGAGAGCUUCACCUGACAGUACGUCCGGACCACCCGACAUUGUCCUUGGACUAACCAGCUCUGUCUGCCGCAUUCGCCCUCUCUGUUCCGCUUUGUCUCCCUCCCUUUCUCUCCAUCUCCUUUGUUCUCUCUUUCUUCAUCUCCUUCCCUCUCUGUAUCUAUCUGGUCUCUUUUCAUUUCUGGUACAUUUUAAUUUUUAUUACUGUAUUUUAUACAUUAUAAAAUAUUACUGUAUUUUAUUACAGUAUUCUGCUAUCUCUCUCUCUUUCUCUGUCUGUGUGUCCUUCUGUCUCUGACUCUCAUUUUUGUCAUAAUGGUUUCAUGUGUUUGUUUUUAUUUUCUCCUCUCUCUGUUUCUGUCAUUCUUUGUCUCUGUGUGUCUUUGUCUUUCCUUGGGCCAGAAACACAAGAAUGUAAACCCUACAUACACGUUCCCUCAGGAGCCAGGGACUUCUCAUUGCCUACUUAUCAGGCGUCCUUAGCACUCUCCCCCGCCCGUCUCUGGAUCAUGACUGCUCUCCCACAGCCCUCCUUUUGGUUUCUGGGGACUCCUUUCACUUCCUGGGAAGAUAGUCUAGAGCCUUUGUUAAUUCCACCUACCUUCUUGUCCGUCUCAUCUAUAACCCCCUGUUGCUGCCAGAUCUGUCAGCUGUUGCUGUGCCAGAAUGACCAGCAGAGCUCAGAGCAGUGGCAGUGCUGUCCCAGUGCUUGUUGCAGGAAGUCCAGGAGUCCUGCAAACGUUCUAAAUGUGAAGUCUGAGAAGUGUUCAGUGAAGAAAGGCACUUGUAAGAUGCCCAACCCUUCAAACUAUUGCAAAAAUGAUGCUCAUGCCGAAUGGAUAAAGAAGAUGUGGUACAAAUAUACAAUGGAAUACUACUCAGCUGCAAAACAGAACAAAAUCAUCCCAUUUGCAAUAACAUGGAUGGACCUUGAGGGAAUUAUGUUAAGUGAAAUAAGCCAGCGAGAGAAAGAUAAUCUGUGUAUGACUCCACUCAUAUGAGGAAUUUAAAAUUAUGGACUAAGAACAGUUUAGUGGAUACCAGGGGAAAGGUGGGGUGGGGGGUGGGCACAAAGGGUGAAGUGGUGCACCUACAACAUGACUGACAAACAUUAAUGUACAACUGAAAUUUCACAAGUUUGUAACCUAUCAAUAACUCAAUAAAAAAAAAAGUACCACCA